This 306-nucleotide long non-coding RNA is filed under the name Phocoena sinus (vaquita). RNAcentral's name for it is "lncRNA (ENSPSNG00000005106.1)". The record is from RNAcentral. Lineage: Eukaryota; Metazoa; Chordata; Mammalia; Artiodactyla; Phocoenidae.
GCUGCCCGCCAGAAUCCUGAGCAGCGGCGCUCACCGUCCCAACCAACAACUGAAACCACCACAGAGCUGACGGAAAGCCAUAGUUUGGAAAGCAUAACUGCCACCGCGCACCAAGCAGAGAAAAAAGAGAAAGAAACCACCACAAAACUAACAGCAGACCAGUCAGAUCUCUGAGCCGGAGUACCUCGCCUCGUGAUUAACAACCCCGGUACGAAUUACACUUGGCUGCAGGAUCCACACAGAGAGCAAGCAAAUGCGUGGUUUUGAGGGAAGCUAGAAAUCUUCGGGAAUGAGUGAAAACAGAUG